Molecule: unclassified non-coding RNA, 286 nt
Organism: Vombatus ursinus (common wombat)
Lineage: Eukaryota; Metazoa; Chordata; Mammalia; Diprotodontia; Vombatidae
Rfam family: Metazoan signal recognition particle RNA
About the family: The signal recognition particle (SRP) is a universally conserved ribonucleoprotein. It is involved in the co-translational targeting of proteins to membranes.
Source: Ensembl
GCCAGGCACUGUGGUGAAUGCCCAUAACCCAGCUACCAGGGAGGGUGAGGCUGGAGGAUUUCUUGAGCUUGGGAUUUCUGAGCUACAGUAGGUGAUGCUGAUUGGGUCUCUACACUAAGUCUGGCAUCAGUUUGAUGUACUUCCAGGAACAGGAGGGCCCGGGCUGCCUAAGGAGGGGCAAACCAGCUUAGGUCAGAAACAGAGCAGGUUAAAGAUGCUGAUGAAUGGUGGGACCAGGCCUGUAAAUGGACCCUGUACUUCCUGCCUAGGUAAAAUAAGGAGAGGA